GGGGAUUUGGCUCAGUGGUAGAGCGCUUGCCUAGGAAGCGCAAGGUCCUGGGUUCAAUCCCCAGCCCCG
This is a non-coding RNA of Rattus norvegicus (Norway rat), 69 nucleotides long. The record is from Rfam. Lineage: Eukaryota; Metazoa; Chordata; Mammalia; Rodentia; Muridae.